AUACGGAGGGUGCGAGCGUUAAUCGGAAUUACUGGGCGUCUAGCGUGCGUAGGCGGUUUGUUAAGUCAGAAGUGAAAGCCCUGGGCUCAACCUGGGAACGGCUUUUGAGACUGGCAGACUCGAGUUGAGUAGAGGGGAGUGGAAUUUCCGGUGUAGCGGUGAAAUGCGUAGAGAUCGGAAGGAACACCAGUGGCGAAGGCGACUCCCUGGACUCAAACUGACGCUGAGGUACGAAAGCGUGGGUAGCAAACAGGAUUAGAAACCCCAGUAGUCC
Molecule: ribosomal RNA, 274 nt
Filed under: uncultured bacterium
Lineage: Bacteria
Description: partial 16S ribosomal RNA
Rfam family: Bacterial small subunit ribosomal RNA
Source: RNAcentral